This 253-nucleotide ribosomal RNA is filed under the name uncultured bacterium. RNAcentral describes it as "partial 16S ribosomal RNA". It matches the Rfam family "Bacterial small subunit ribosomal RNA", at positions 524 to 776 of the family's 1533-position model. The record is from RNAcentral.
AACGUAGGUGGCGAGCGUUAUCCGGAAUUACUGGGCGUAAAGCGUGUGCAGGCGGUUUGUUAAGUGCAGGGUGAAAGCUCCCGGCUCAACUGGGAGAGGUCCUUGCAUACUGGCGAACUCGAGGGAGGCAGAGGAAAGUGGAAUUCCCGGUGUAGUGGUGAUAUGCGUAGAUAUCGGGAGGAACACCGGUGGCGAAGGCGGCCCCCUGGUUGGAUACUGACGCUGAGACGCGAAAGCGUGGGGAGCAAACAGG